RNAcentral lists this ribosomal RNA (495 nucleotides) under uncultured bacterium. RNAcentral's name for it is "partial 16S ribosomal RNA". It matches the Rfam family "Bacterial small subunit ribosomal RNA", at positions 28 to 507 of the family's 1533-position model. The record is from RNAcentral.
GACGAACGCUGGCGGCGUGCCUAAUACAUGCAAGUAGAACGCUGAAGGAGGAGCUUGCUUCUCUGGAUGAGUUGCGAACGGGUGAGUAACGCGUAGGUAACCUGCCUGGUAGCGGGGGAUAACUAUUGGAAACGAUAGCUAAUACCGCAUAAUAGUAGAUGUUGCAUGACAUUUGCUUAAAAGGUGCAAUUGCAUCACUACCAGAUGGACCUGCGUUGUAUUAGCUAGUUGGUGGGGUAACGGCUCACCAAGGCGACGAUACAUAGCCGACCUGAGAGGGUGAUCGGCCACACUGGGACUGAGACACGGCCCAGACUCCUACGGGAGGCAGCAGUAGGGAAUCUUCGGCAAUGGACGGAAGUCUGACCGAGCAACGCCGCGUGAGUGAAGAAGGUUUUCGGAUCGUAAAGCUCUGUUGUAAGAGAAGGACGAGUGUGAGAGUGGAAAGUUCACACUGUGACGGUAUCUUACCAGAAAGGGACGGCUAACUACGUG